Long non-coding RNA from Pipistrellus kuhlii (Kuhl's pipistrelle), 975 nucleotides. RefSeq lists it as uncharacterized. Lineage: Eukaryota; Metazoa; Chordata; Mammalia; Chiroptera; Vespertilionidae. The transcript is spliced from 2 exons. The record is from RefSeq and is a predicted model, not a curated record.
GGGAGGGGCGGGGCGGCCGGACUCGGACCCGAGCGCUCGUCUCCACCCCCGCCUGGAAGCGGCGAGGGCUGCGCGCCGGGAGAGGCUUGUCGGGGGCGCCUGGCGGAUGGACCGCGGCGGGAGCCACAGGCCGGAGCGGGGCCGACCAGCUACCUCCUGGCUCCCGGCAGGUGCUCCGACCCUUUUGUAUCUGCCAAGCCGUUUUUUAGUUGUGUGAAGACAGCUGCGUGGAACGAAGGGAGAAGGAGAUGGUGCCGUAGCCCAGAGGCUCAGGUGCUGGGAAUCUAGUUGGAAAACCCACUCACCUGGAGGGACCUCUGCCGCUAGUUCAGCCUUCAUACAAACUAGUCCCCCAGCUGCUGGGGACGGCUGGUCUGCACCUGCCUCCCACAGCCGGUUAAAAGUGGUUGUUUCUGUUUAAGAUAAAGGUAGGGCUCGGGAAUGAGGUGUAUAAAGGCAUGACAUGCUGAGUGAUGAAAUCCGAGCAAAGAAAUAAAUGCACAAGUGUGUCCCAAAACCUGGAACGCUCUGGGCUUACUUACCAAGGACGGCUGGCCGCAGAGCCUGAGUACAAGGAACUAAGGUACCCAGACCUGCUCCAGCCCAGACACCGAGGAGCAUCUGGCCACCGCUGCCUGGGGGAGCUUGUGCCAUAGCCCUGGUCUGAGCCAAGAGCAAGCCCAAACCACUGAUUUCCAGUCACUGCUUCUGAGGCUCAGGUGGAGAAACGGAGAAAAAUCCAAAGAUUAGCCUGCAUUUUCCUCUCCGAGUUCGAAUAAAGAUGUUUUGUUCCUCUGCUCUCAUAUAUACACACAUCUGCAGAGUACUGGAAUGGUUCCAUGUCAUUAAACCUUUAAUUACAUAGCUGUUUUCAAAAAUCAUAUUCAGAGUGAUUUUGUCAGGUGCUAAGUUGGCAGGUGGCCAAUGCAGAAGCUCAGCCCUCAGCCCUCCAGCAAAUGCCCUCUGCCGGCUCAG